This 253-nucleotide ribosomal RNA is filed under the name uncultured bacterium. Its description in RNAcentral is "partial 16S ribosomal RNA". It matches the Rfam family "Bacterial small subunit ribosomal RNA", at positions 524 to 776 of the family's 1533-position model. The record is from RNAcentral.
UACAGAGGUGGCAAGCGUUGUUCGGAAUUACUGGGCGUAAAGGGCGCGUAGGCGGCCCGUCAAGUCCCGUGUGAAAGCCCCCGGCUCAACCGGGGAACUGCACGGGAAACUAGCAGGCUUGAGUUCGGGAGAGGGAAGCGGAAUUUCGGGUGUAGCGGUGAAAUGCGUAGAUAUCUGGAGGAAUACCGGUGGCGAAGGCGGCAUCCUGGACCAUUACUGACGCUGAGGCGCGAAAGCUAGGGGAGCGAAUGGG